RNAcentral lists this long non-coding RNA (337 nucleotides) under Glycine max (soybean). Its description in RNAcentral is "long non-coding RNA (GMAX_LNC003536)". Lineage: Eukaryota; Viridiplantae; Streptophyta; Magnoliopsida; Fabales; Fabaceae. The record is from RNAcentral.
GUACAUCCACUUGGUUGUUCAAAGAGUCAAGGGAGGGUACAUCCCUUGUGGAUCUUUGCUUGUAAAGGAUUUUACAAGGUUAUUGGAAAUCUCAAGAACCGGUGGUUGCUUAGGGACUGGAUGUAGGCACGGGUUGUGGCCGAACCAGUAUAAAUCUUGUGUUUGUCUUCUUCUUCCCUACACUCUUUACUUUUCCGCUGUGUUCUUUUAUUUCCGCUUUAAUUUUGUCUAAGUUAUUGUUUUUGUUCUUUACUUCCUCAUAACUUAGUAGUAAAGCCUAAUUGAAUCUAGUAAUAUUAAGAAGGAUAAAUUUUUAAUUAGUCAAGACACAUUCAUA